CAGAGCACCUCCUCAGAGGCCCGGCCACCCCACUGGGCCUCCCACCCUUUCCCUUGGGCCUCUUCUCCUACCUGCCUGAUUUCUCCCCUGUCUCCGGAGGAGCAAAGGGAGGGACUGCCCUUGGGUCCCCCUCACCUCACAGGAGGCCGCUCUCCCAGGCCUAGCCCUCUCCUCUGAGGCCUCAGACCCUGCCCACAGCCAGAGCUAGAGGGCCAGAGAUCCCUGAGUCUCCUAAGUUCCGUGAGGACAGGGACUGUGCAAUGCCGUUGACGCUGCAGUUUGCUGAAUAACGCAAGUCAAGCCUUUGUGCUCCGGAACCCAGCCUCGCUCCUUAGCCCUUGCAGGAGUGGGAGCCAGGCCUUCCUGAGAUGCAAUGGAAGGACAGUGGUUCCAGCAGGCCCAGGUGACACCCACUCCCGCUGCAGCCCACCAGGCCCUGCUCUGCACGCACCUGCAUGACCUCCAGCUUCUUCUUGGUGGUUUCGAUGAACUGGGCAAUGGCCACGUAGAUGAACUUGUACUGCGCCUCUGUCUGCACCAUGCCCGAGCGCUGCGCCCGCACCAUCUGGAUGGUCUUCUGGAUGUCAAUGUCACAGUCCAGCCCUGGGCAAGGGUGGCAGUCAGACCUCAGGCCCAGGCAGGGGCAGAUACCGAGGGGCUGCUCACUGCCCGCCCCCAAGGCCCCCCAGGUAACCCUCACCUUUGGUGGAUAUAUUCUCCAUGAGCAUGUCGAUGACAAUGAUAGUGCCUGUGCGGCCAAUGCCCGCGCUGGGGAGAGAAGGGGGCACUGUCAGAGGCUCAGUCAACCCCUCACCGGGAAGGGCUCCAGCCCUGAGGGCCUGAGCCCCCGGCCACAGGAGGGAGCACCUAGAGUCACUGGGCCAGCAAGGGCAGGAGUCCGCCCAGCUCUGCACCGGUGCCCACGGCAGCCAGCGGAGGGAUCCGCGGGAAGGGCCUAGCUCUGAAGUGCUGACCUCGGCCCUACAGCCGCCUCCAGGUUUCCCUUCCUCCCAGCCCAGAGCUACCCUCCUCCACUUCCUGACUCCUCCCUCCUGGCAGGGGGCUGCCCCCUAUCCCAGAAGAUCUGGGACCCCCCCAAAUGCCACAGCUGUCCAGCCGGCUCCAGUUGGUUCCGCAGGCACUGUGCACCCUCCCCGUCCCUCCCUGCAAGAGUUGCAUUUGGAGCUUCUUUCUGUGGGGCCUCAUUUCCCUUUUUCUCCAAAGCCUGGCCGGGAAAGGGCAGCGCUGAGGCAACGGGAAGCAGGGGCUUGGAGGAGUAGCGUGGUGGGAAGUCUCUCUUCUUCUCUACCUUCUGCCACCACCCUGUGCCAGACAGACCCUACAGAGACUCCAGUCCCACCCUCGACUGGGCCAGUCAGGCCGAUGCCCUGAGUCGCGCUAAUUUCAAACCCAGAUUGUCAAAAAUAACCCCCCCAUCACCCACUUCCUUCCUGUAACUUCUAAAUAAAGGCCAUGGGGCUU
Long non-coding RNA from Lemur catta (Ring-tailed lemur), 1482 nucleotides. RefSeq lists it as uncharacterized. The record is from RefSeq and is a predicted model, not a curated record. NCBI's taxonomy places the organism in Eukaryota, Metazoa, Chordata, Mammalia, Primates, Lemuridae. The transcript is spliced from 3 exons.